This 301-nucleotide ribosomal RNA is filed under the name uncultured bacterium. RNAcentral describes it as "partial 16S ribosomal RNA". It matches the Rfam family "Bacterial small subunit ribosomal RNA", at positions 509 to 809 of the family's 1533-position model. The record is from RNAcentral.
CAGCAGCCGCGGUAAGACAGAGGAUGCAAGCGUUAUCCGGAAUGAUUGGGCGUAAAGCGUCUGUAGGUGGCUUUUCAAGUCCGCCGUCAAAUCCCAGGGCUCAACCCUGGACAGGCGGUGGAAACUACCAAGCUAGAGUACGGUAGGGGCAGAGAGAAUUUCCGGUGGAGCGGUGAAAUGCGUUGAGAUCGAAAAGAACACCAACGACGAAAGCACUCUGCUGGGUCGACACUGACUCUGAGAGACGAAAGCUAGGGGAGCAAAUGGGAUUAGAUACCCGGGUAGUCCCUGUCUCUUAUAA